This 301-nucleotide unclassified non-coding RNA is filed under the name uncultured fungus. RNAcentral describes it as "sequence contains ITS2". The stretch from base 1 to 52 matches the Rfam family "5.8S ribosomal RNA", at positions 103 to 154 of the family's 154-position model. Lineage: Eukaryota; Fungi. The record is from RNAcentral.
AACGCACCUUGCGCUCCUUGGUAUUCCGAGGAGCAUGCCUGUUUGAGUGUCAUGAAAUUCUCAACCUUUCUGGCUUUGAUACCAAAGCUGGCAAAGGCUUGGAUUGUGGAAGUUGCUGGUCUCUCACGAGUUGGCUCUUCUUAAAUGCAUUAGCAAGAUCAUUGCUGGAUCAUCUUUGAUAUGAUAAUUAUCUAUGUCACUGAGGACCGGCUCUGAAAGGUUUUGCUUCUAACCGUCUCGUCUUGAGACAAUGAUUGACAACUUUGACCUCAAAUCAGGUAGGACUACCCGCUGAACUUAA